This 559-nucleotide ribosomal RNA is filed under the name uncultured bacterium. Its description in RNAcentral is "partial 16S ribosomal RNA". It matches the Rfam family "Bacterial small subunit ribosomal RNA", at positions 355 to 914 of the family's 1533-position model. The record is from RNAcentral.
UGAGGAAUAUUGGUCAAUGGGCGAGAGCCUGAACCAGCCAAAUCGCGUGAAGGAAGACUGCCUUAUGGGUUGUAAACUUCUUUUGUACAGGAAUAAAAAGGGGGACGCGUCCUCCAUUGCAUGUACUGUACGAAUAAGCAUCGGCUAACUCCGUGCCAGCAGCCGCGGUAAUACGGAGGAUGCGAGCGUUAUCCGGAUUUAUUGGGUUUAAAGGGUGCGCAGGCGGGCUUUUAAGUCAGCGGUGAAAUCUCGACGCUUAACGUCGAAACUGCCGUUGAAACUGGGAGUCUUGAGUAUAGAUGAAGUAGGCGGAAUUCGUUGUGUAGCGGUGACAUGCUUAGAUAUAACGAGGAACUCCGAUUGCGUAGGCAGCUUACUAAGCUAUAACUGACGCUCAAGCACGAAAGCGUGGGGAUCAAACAGGAUUAGGUACCCUGGUAGUCCACGCCGUAAACGAUGAUUACUAGUUGUAUGCGAUAUACCGUAUGUGACUAAGCGAAAGCGAUAAGUAAUCCACCUGGGGAGUACGCCGGCAACGGUGAAACUCAAAGGAAUUGAC